AUACGUAGGGGACGAGCGUUGUCCGGAAUUACUGGGCGUAAAGGGCGCGCAGGCGGAUAUUUAAGUCAGCUGUAAAAGGCAUGAGCUCAACUCAUGUAUGCGGUUGAAACUGGGUAUCUAGAAUGCUGGAGAGGUAGGCGGAAUUCCCGGUGUAGCGGUGAAAUGCGUAGAUAUCGGGAAGAACACCAGUGGCGAAGGCGGCUUACUGGCCAGCAACUGACGCUGAGGCGCGAAAGCCAGGGGAGCGAACGGGAUUAGAUACCCCGGUAGUCCGGGCCGUAAACGAUGAGUGCUAGGUGUGGGUGUCGAGAGGCAUCCGUGCCGGAGUUAACGCGAUAAGCAUUCCGCCUGGGGAGUACGAUCGCAAGAUUGAAACUCAAAGGAAGUGACGGGG
This 394-nucleotide ribosomal RNA is filed under the name uncultured bacterium. RNAcentral's name for it is "partial 16S ribosomal RNA". It matches the Rfam family "Bacterial small subunit ribosomal RNA", at positions 523 to 918 of the family's 1533-position model. The record is from RNAcentral.